Molecule: long non-coding RNA, 1221 nt
Filed under: Homo sapiens (human)
Lineage: Eukaryota; Metazoa; Chordata; Mammalia; Primates; Hominidae
Description: HSALNT0019503
Source: RNAcentral
CAUGCUUUUCCUCUCUUUAUUGUGACAUGAAUUUUUCCAGGUGAUUUUCAUGCCUCAGAUUUUGCCAUAUCAUGAUCUCCCAAUAAUUGCUCAUUAAAUUCAAGUAUUUUCACAUGAUAAAUAUUUUAUCAUGUAACAAAUGGUCACAGACUCCCUCAGGAUUUCCAAAGCAGCCUUGGGACAUUUUACUUUCAUUUUUUAAACUCACAGAUGUAAAUAUAAGGUGGAAGAAAAUUGAGGAAAUUAUGAAUAUUAUCAAAUUGCUGCCACUGAAUAUCCUUUUGGUGUCUUGUAGAAGCACACACACAUACUAGUCUGGCAAGAGAUAAGCAAUCUUUAUUUUUCCUACUAUAUUCAAUUAUAUGUUUAGUAUUGAAGGAUAAGCUAUAAAUCAAGAUUUAGAAUGAUAAAGGGAAAAACUUACCAUCAUAACACUUAUAAAUUGGUAACAAAAGUUUCUAUGGUUUAUAGUGGUCUGUUUAUCUGACCCAAUUAAUUUUACUAACACAUGGAAGUCAAUUUCAUCCCCUGUAAGUGUCAGCUGUAUAUGAUUUUGAAACUAAUUGAAAUUAUACUGGUUGUGGUAGAGACUAUGGUUUCCUUAUCAAAUAUUCAUUCUUUUUUUCCUCAAAUUUAUGGAAUCCCAGUAUUUUACUGUGUAUAUUUACCUAGCUAAAUACUACAUUUUCCAGCUUUCUUUGCAGCUAGUUAUAGUGAUGUGAUGUGACUUAGCACUGGCUAAUGAGAUUGCUGUGGGACAGGUACCCCACAAGGUUAUUUAAGGGUGUAUACCCACCGUUUCAGCCCUCAAGGCUGGGUAGUGAGCCAAGGCCAACAGGCCAAACCAAACAGCAGGUGUCCUUGAGAAACCAAACAUCCCACAGCAUAGCUGGGAACAUCCCAUGGAAAAUAGUCUUAGCGUAUAUACACAGUAGACAAAAAGCCAGAAAAUUAGCUUAAAAGCAGGUUAGUGAUGAGUGGCAAGGUGGAUCUCUGAAGCUGUCCUGCUGCCGCCCAGAAGUACCCUGUAUGAAGGUCCUAAUAAACUUAUCUACUUGCCAAGUUGGACUUCUCCAAGUCAUUCUUUGGUCUCUCAGCUACUUCCUAGUUUGGAAAGAUGUUAGAGUCCCGAAUUUUUCUCGUAAUAGAGAUGUAAGUGGAAGAGUUGUUUGUAACUUCUGCAAUGUGCCUUUAGCAGAGACAAGGCAAAUAUUUGUUCCU